This 762-nucleotide ribosomal RNA is filed under the name Thermoactinomyces sp. CICC 10735. RNAcentral describes it as "partial 23S ribosomal RNA". It matches the Rfam family "Bacterial large subunit ribosomal RNA", at positions 84 to 838 of the family's 2925-position model. The record is from RNAcentral. Lineage: Bacteria; Bacillati; Bacillota; Bacilli; Caryophanales; Thermoactinomycetaceae.
AGCUGUAAGUGAGCGUUGAUCCGGGGAUGUCCGAAUGGGGGAACCCGCCAGCUUGAAGAGCUGGCACCGCCAUCUGAAUCCAUAGGAUGGACGGGGGCAUACCAGGGGAACUGAAACAUCUUAGUACCCUGAGGAAGAGAAAGCAAACGCGAUUCCCUGAGUAGCGGCGAGCGAAACGGGAACAGCCCAAACCGGCUGGCUUUGCCAACCGGGGUUGUAGGACGUCUCACACGGAGUUACAAAGGUGACGGAUAGAUGAAGUGGUUCUGGAAAGACCCGCCAAAGAAGGUAACAGCCCUGUAAUCGAAAUCGGUCACCCUCCGAGACGGAUCCUGAGUACCGCGGGACACGUGAAACCCCGUGGGAAGCAGGGAGGACCACCUCCCAAGGCUAAAUACUCCCUGGCGACCGAUAGUGAACCAGUACCGUGAGGGAAAGGUGAAAAGCACCCCGGGAGGGGAGUGAAAGAGAACCUGAAACCGUGUGCUUACAAUCAGUCGGAGUCCUUUUAAAGGGAUGACGGCGUGCCUUUUGUAGAAUGAACCGGCGAGUGACGGUUACGUGCGAGGUUAAGGUGAGAAGCCGGAGCCGCAGCGAAAGCGAGUCUGAACAGGGCGAAUGAGUACGUGGCCGUCGACCCGAAACCGGGUGAUCUACCCAUGUCCAGGGUGAAGUUCCGGUAACACGGAAUGGAGGCCCGAACCUGUUGGUGUUGAAAAACCAUAGGAUGAGGUGUGGGUAGGGGUGAAAUGCCAAUCGAAC